Molecule: ribosomal RNA, 256 nt
Filed under: uncultured bacterium
Lineage: Bacteria
Description: partial 16S ribosomal RNA
Rfam family: Bacterial small subunit ribosomal RNA
Source: RNAcentral
ACCUACGGGGGGCAGCAGUAGGGAAUCUUCCACAAUGGACGAAAGUCUGAUGGAGCAACGCCGCGUGAGUGAAGAAGGGUUUCGGCUCGUAAAGCUCUGUUGGUAGUGAAGAAAGAUAGAGGGAGUAACUGGCCUUUAUUUUACGGUAAUUACUUAGAAAGUCACGGCUAACUACGUGCCAGCCGCCGCGGUAAUACGUAUGUGGCAAGCGUUGUCCGGGUUUAUUGGGCGUAAAGCGAGUGCAGGCGGGUUCAUA